GUAUAUAAUAUAUAUUUUUGCAAAGUUCCCCCCAGCACACAAAUAAAUAAAUGUCGAAUAUUGUAAGCAGGAAGGAAAAGAGUAUCACAGAGACAGUCAUUACGAAAGCCGUAUUGAGUUUGCAGCGGAAGUCACUCUUAAUAUCAGCUGUAACUGAUAUGACAGCUGAUUUAAAAAACUGCCACUGCCACUGCCGCUGCGAUAUUAUGUUUUGGGCUUGAAUUUUCUUUGAGCUCGGAGAAACUUUCUCGCUAGUUUUACAAUAUGCUUAAAUAAAAUAGUAGUUAUAUUCACGAGUACUUCUUAUGCUAAGUGCUCACGUAUAUAACAUGGUCUUCCUUACAAAAUACUAAGGAGGAUAUGUGAAGAAGAUGACACUUUUAAAUGAACAACUUCAACAAAGCAAACAUAUGUACAUACUAAGAAAAACAUAAUACGACAGUAGCGGCUGUCGUAAUUAUGAUACACAUUUUUGUCGAUGUAAGAGCAGCUGUAAUAAGUAUUCGAAAAUCAGACAUCUGGCACGCACAUUUAUGUUGAAACAAAACAAGAGCGGUAAUAAUAAAUAUAUCAUAACAAAAUAACAGCUACAUGAAUGAUACAAAAAAAAGUACAGUAUUUCCUGUAAGAGUUCUGCCAAUAAUUAUUAUGUCGCUUUAACAUAAGAUGACCAACAAAUUGAAAUAGUUUAUGAGUAAAAAAUUAUAUUAAAGCGGUAGUCUAGAAAAGUGCUCGUUACCACAUCUACAUAUGUCAACUAGUGUAAUAUGUAGCAAAACAAUAAUUCUUUGAUAGCAAAUGAAAUUUUAAAUUCAAUAUACCUUGGAUGUAACUUUUUAACAUUAUUCAAUUUUGUUAUACUAAACGCCACAAUUCCUUUGCAUAGAAAAGAAAAACUUAAAAUAUUUUUGGUGAUUUAGUAGAUAAAGAUGUUUUAGAACUAGUAAACAAUGCCCUUUACUAUUAAUACUAAAACCAAACGGUGAUUUACGUAUAUGUGGGAAUUAUAAAGUUACCAUAAACGUAAGUAAGGUAACUCGUUUGCUAGAAAAACAUGAAGACGCAAAACCACAAAUUGGAGGAGGAGUUCGGCCGAAAAUCGCUUCAGUAAUUACAAAGCACAGAUUAUGUAUAUAUAUCUUUACGUACCCAAUGUUGUUGUUUGUCAAGAAGUCGUCAAAGUUUUCGAUGAAGAUUAGGCGAGCACAUCCGAUAUAAAGCACAGUUUCGUCUAAAGAACUGGGAAAAACAAACGAAUUUCUUUGAUGGUGACAGCAAGAAUGCAACUAAAGGAAUUUGGACUGUUCGGUUUUAAAUACAAAAUCGAAUACAUAAACGCAACAUUAAAUGAAGCUGACAAUUGGUCAAGACUUUCACAACAUGAGUAUGACCAACGUAACAAUGCGAAAUCGUUCAGAUGCCAAAUCAAAGCUCAAAAUAUUCUUAAUUUCAAAGCGACAAAGGUAAAAAAAUGAAAGGUGACCAUUUUCGUCUCUUCUAAACAUCGGAAAAAUUUUGUCGUUUCGGAAAUGUAAAUAAAAUUGGCACCCAUCGACAAAGGCCAACGCGAAAACUUCGUCAAACCUCUGAAGAAAAUGAAACGAAUUUCAAUGCAGUCUUGAACAGCUUUUUGAUGGAUGAUACUACCAUUACUACAAAAUAAUCGCCCGCUAAGCUAAUGUUAUGCAGAUCUGUUACGACUCGGUUGGAUUUGGUUAAAUCACCUUUAAUUAGCGACAACUGUUUACAAAGCAAGAGAAAGAUAGAGACACUAUCGUGGCAAGAGAAAAUGGUUAUAUUAAAAAUGUUAAUGAUAUCUCCAGCGACAACUCAAUCUAGUAUUUGUCCGCGAAGUUAUCAUUAAAAUCACAAUAACAAGUUAAUUAAAAGACACGCUGUUCAAAUGAAGAUACUCAGGCGUUGAGUAUGAAGACGAAAUUUUCGUGACCUUUCACCGGGAUAUAACAACACAUGUAUAUAAUUUUCUGUUUUAUUAAUGUCUACUAAUUUUUUUUUACAUUGAUUUUUCUUCCCACCUUUUCUUAACAUUAAAUUGCUUUUCGUGCUUUCAUUUUUAUUAAUUUUUUUGAUUCACUCAUGUUCUUUGAUUACCUUAUCAAAUUCUUUACUUACAUUGGCAGUGGGUAGCGGCUUGUGGUUUGAGGAACUAAUUAUAUACGUGUAAGUUCGCAAACAACAUUGUCAUCAAGGGUAAAGACAUAAGGUUCUUUUGCAUCCUGCUUCUCACCUGCAAAAACACUUCCUCCUUCUUUCGAAGCUGGUUUUAGUGGAUUAAGAUGUCUACGAAUAAUUCUAUCUUUUUAUAAACAGUUAUAUGACAAUGCUCCUACCUAUUUUAUUUUUGUAGCCAGAGACUAUUUUAGCUUAUUCAGAUUGAUAUAGUCACGAACAUGUACUUUCUGCCCUGGAGUUAAAUUUAUUAAACCUUUUCCUCUUAUGAUCCUCAAUACUUUUCUCUUGACUUUGUAAAUUUUUCUCAAAUGUAGUUCUAACGGAUCCGUCUAGGAAAAGCAUUAUUGGUGUUUGCUUGGUGAAACAAUGAGCUGUGUUUUGGUAGUCUAUCAGAAAUCUGUUAAAUAUGAUAUGAAAGCUCUGGCCCUUAAGGUUUUCCUAUCUAUGAAUUUUAAAAAUCAUGAAUGCGAUUACUGUUUGUUUAAUGGAAGGAGAUAUUUCGUCUUCUCCUCGUUCACUAAGAGACCCAUUUGCUUCGCCUUUUUAUCAAGUCUAGAGGAAGCAGAACUAUGUAUUUGUACAUUCUUGUAAAAUAUUUUACCUUCUCUAUUCAGCUCUGCAGCUCUUAUUAUAUCCUUAAGCUUCAAACUGAUAUCACACGAUCGGAGAGUUCUUUCAACUCUGACUGCGCUUCUGGUGUUGUUUAGCGUCAGUUUACACAGCCGUAUAAGUCUUGCGGGAAUACUAAAUUCAGACAAAGCGUCGUAUGGGCAGCUCCUUUUCGUGCUAUCGAAGGCUGCUUUAAAAUCAACGAAGAGGUGGUGAGUCUUUUACAAGAUUUCGAGCCUGGUACAAAGCCACACAGAUAGGGUACAGUCGGUUUGUAGGUGGGCUUCAGCUUUUCGCAAAAUACGAUUAAUAGGAGUUAAUAAGCGAUGUUAAGGAGGCUUAUUCCACGGUAAUUGGCGCAGACUGUGGUAUCGCACUCCACCGCCAUUUUUGAAUAGCACUGUCGGUAGACCGCAAGCUCCAUACGCUUUGUUGUUCUUGAAGUAAUUGCGUUUUUAAUAAUACAAAAGUAUUUUUUAUUAUAUUAUAUUAUAUGUGGUUAGGCUCUUUUGUUGUUUUUGUGCUAGAGGCGGUUUUUGUUGUGCUAGUGUAGGGCAACGCGUUCACCCCAUUAAGGUAAUCGCUUCUUUAAUUUUAUUGUUAUUUAAAUUUUUUUGCUUUUCUUUCCCUUUAUUCCACGGUAAUUGGCGCAGACUGUGGUAUCGCACUCCACCGCCAUUUUUGAAUAGCACUGUCGGUAGACCGCAAGCUCCAUACGCUUUGUUGUUCUUGAAGUAAUUGCGUUUUUAAUAAUACAAUAGUUUUUUUCUAUUAUAUUAUAUUAUAUGUGGUUAGGCUCUUUUGUUGUUUUGGUGCUAGAGCCGGUUUUUGUUGUGCUAGUGUAGGGCAACGCGUUCAUCCCAUUAGGGUAAUCGCUUUUUAAUUUUAUUGUUAGUUAAAUUUUUUUGCUUUUCUUUCCCUUUGUUUAAUUUAUAAUUUAUCUUAGUGAAAAUAUAUGUAUCUUUUUCUAUCGAGUAUACGUUUUCUGUUUUUUCUUUUUCAUGGAGAUAAAUCGUUUGGCACAGGCUGAGAUAUACGCUUAGAGCGUCGCGUCUUCUAGAGAAUAAAUGUUCGGUAGACCUAUUGCAGGAGUAGAAAGGGGAGGUGAAUCGAAUAAUCAUAAAACUCAGAGAUACGAUCAAGCAGUGUGACCAGCUGCAACAAACGCAUCGAUAUAAUUUAGUUUCACUAACAAGAAAACUUAUCUCAACGAAAUGAAAUCGUUCAUUGUAAACGUUAUCUUUAAAAUGGCUCAUUGCUAUGAUUAACGUUUAACAAUUUUAAUGUAAAUAUUUUCAAAUGUUUCAACCGAUUCGAUUGAAAUUUUACUAUGCAGAUUUUUUAUCAUCCGCUUCUGGGAAUGAGGACACUGAAUGAAAAACUUCGAGCUGAACAACAGAGGAUUUAAAUUAAUAGAAUAUUCAAACGAUAAAAAAAUAUGUAGCGGCUUAGAUUUAUACUAAGCCGAACUACAAGAUGAAUGCUGAAUAAGGAAUAGAUGAAACAAUUAGCUUGAUCUACAGCUAAAUGUACCAGAUGAUACAUAUAUCAAAAAGACUAUAUAAUACGAAUUUCCCAUUUACAAAGCAUUUUCAAUUCAAAUCAGCACAAAUAAAU
Molecule: long non-coding RNA, 4419 nt
Organism: Ceratitis capitata (Mediterranean fruit fly)
Lineage: Eukaryota; Metazoa; Arthropoda; Insecta; Diptera; Tephritidae
Exons: 3
Source: RefSeq, a predicted model, not a curated record